This 210-nucleotide long non-coding RNA is filed under the name Elaeis guineensis (African oil palm). Its description in RNAcentral is "long non-coding RNA (EGUI_LNC051212)". Lineage: Eukaryota; Viridiplantae; Streptophyta; Magnoliopsida; Arecales; Arecaceae. The record is from RNAcentral.
AUGUAGUCGAUUUCAGCUCAUGUUAGGAUGAGAUUCUCCUCCUAUUCCUAACAGGACUGUGAUUUGCCCCAUUUGUUCAUGAUCGAAGGUCUUUUCGAGGCCACUCGAGUUUGAUGCUUCCUCUCGGUGCUCAAGCAUGGGGGCCUGAACUUCUCGUUAUCUCGAGGGAGUCGAUUUUCUCCCGCCAGUGUUGGGUUCUCUCUUGGAGAC